CUAAUAGGGCUGCUAUUGCAGGCUACUUUGAUAUAGUAGACUUAAAACUUUUUUGUUUCGUUAGU
RNAcentral lists this transfer RNA (65 nucleotides) under Rhodobothrium sp. DTJL-2012. RNAcentral's name for it is "tRNA-Ile". Lineage: Eukaryota; Metazoa; Platyhelminthes; Cestoda; Rhinebothriidea; Rhinebothriidae. The record is from RNAcentral.